RNAcentral lists this long non-coding RNA (528 nucleotides) under Danio rerio (zebrafish). RNAcentral's name for it is "lncRNA (ENSDARG00000117621.1)". The record is from RNAcentral. Lineage: Eukaryota; Metazoa; Chordata; Actinopteri; Cypriniformes; Danionidae.
GCCCGGCUCGUCUGCGCUUGUGCGAGUGCUGGGAGGAGGCAGCCGUGCUCCGUCCGCUUUUGUGUGGUUGUACAGAAGUGCUGCGGUUGGGAGGAGGAGGUGGUGGAGGUGGAGGGAACAGCUGCUCCCCACACAGAAGCCGGUUUCCCAGCCUCACAGGCAGCGCGAGGCAGGCUGUUUUCCCCGGGGCCCUCGGGUUGCUUCACCAGCCUCCGCAGCUCCGGAGAUUUUUUUAUAGCUUGGCCGAACACGAAACGGACCAGAACAAGUCGGAUUCUUUUCGUCACAAGGCCUGACGCUCGUGCUUCUCUCACAAAAACUCCCAAGCAGAUAUGGAUACGUCUCCACUGGAGCUCCACCAGGUUUCUGUCGGCCGACGGGACUCCAGUGGAACCUGCGGACGCUCCGAGCGGAAGAGCUUUUAACCCGGCCGGCAGAAGACGCGCACAGACUGACGCAGGUGCUCCAUUUACCUGUACUAGAAAACACUGAGUGUGCAGAGCUCAUGAUGUUGAUUUCAGUUUGCAG